Molecule: transfer RNA, 59 nt
Filed under: Heterocephalus glaber (naked mole-rat)
Lineage: Eukaryota; Metazoa; Chordata; Mammalia; Rodentia; Bathyergidae
Rfam family: tRNA
About the family: Transfer RNA (tRNA) molecules are approximately 80 nucleotides in length. Their secondary structure includes four short double-helical elements and three loops (D, anti-codon, and T loops). Further hydrogen bonds mediate the characteristic L-shaped molecular structure. tRNAs have two regions of fundamental functional importance: the anti-codon, which is responsible for specific mRNA codon recognition, and the 3' end, to which the tRNAs corresponding amino acid is attached (by aminoacyl-tRNA synthetases). tRNAs cope with the degeneracy of the genetic code in two manners: having more than one tRNA (with a specific anti-codon) for a particular amino acid; and 'wobble' base-pairing, i.e. permitting non-standard base-pairing at the 3rd anti-codon position.
Source: Rfam by way of RNAcentral
GUAGCUCAGUGGCAGAGCGCUUGCCUGGCAUGCAUGUGGCCCUGGGUUCCAUCCCCAGC